This 253-nucleotide ribosomal RNA is filed under the name uncultured bacterium. Its description in RNAcentral is "partial 16S ribosomal RNA". It matches the Rfam family "Bacterial small subunit ribosomal RNA", at positions 524 to 776 of the family's 1533-position model. The record is from RNAcentral.
UACGUAGGGGGCUAGCGUUGUCCGGAAUCAUUGGGCGUAAAGCGCGUGUAGGCGGCCCGGUAAGUCCGCUGUGAAAGUCGGGGGCUCAACCCUCGGAUGCCGGUGGAUACUGUCGGGCUCGAGUACGGAAGAGGCGAGUGGAAUUCCUGGUGUAGCGGUGAAAUGCGCAGAUAUCAGGAAGAACACCCGUGGCGAAGGCGGCUUUCUGGGACGGUACUGACGCUGAGACGCGAAAGCGUGGGGAGCAAACAGG